GCACCCGUAGUGAAACGGAUAUCAUUCCUGCCUUCGAAGCAGAUGUUCCAGGUUCGAGUCCUGGCGGGUGCA
Molecule: transfer RNA, 72 nt
Filed under: Minisyncoccota bacterium
Lineage: Bacteria; Bacillati; Minisyncoccota
Description: tRNA-Arg
Rfam family: tRNA
About the family: Transfer RNA (tRNA) molecules are approximately 80 nucleotides in length. Their secondary structure includes four short double-helical elements and three loops (D, anti-codon, and T loops).
Source: RNAcentral